AUUAUUCUCCCAAUUCCAGUGUCAAUAUAGAUUAAUAUAAUUUGAUUCCUUAAAAAUCUGCGGGAAGUCACGCUCGUGUAAACACUUGGUGAAUGUUUUGGUUGGUGGAUGUAACGCGAAAAAUACACCGCUGGAUAUUGUUUAUUUUAAGAGGUGGGAUGAUAGCAUAGGAAGAAAAUGUCGCUGUACGGAGAGAACGUCCGCUCUCCCUUAGAGCAAGUGUGGAGGCAGUUUGUACCUCAAGGGUAUGAUCAAGCACUGCGUAAUGCCUUCUAUAAUGUUGCUGCGGUCAUCUUUGUUGGGGCCGCUGCUGCAGCUGCCUGGUCCGUAUAUAAAAUCUUUGAGCCCUUUGUGCAGCCAUUGCUAUGGGCAGUUUUAAUAGGUUCACUACUGCAUCCGGCCAAAGAUGCACUAACAAGGUGGACUCGAAGCUGGCUUCUAGAUGUGAGGGCAUCACAUAAUCUUCUAUCUGUGUCAGUGGCACUGCUUCCAUUAAGGUUUCUAGACGCUACAUCAGAAAUUGUUGGCAGAUUUGUUGUACGGCAUGUGCGGAGUGUUGUGACAGUCACAGUAAUCCUGCCACUGUUUUACAUCAUUAUACAUCACACACCCACAUUCAUGUCUACUCUUGCCUACACUAUUUGUUCGGCUAUCAUGUCAGUAAUCACAGUUAUUGUGUCGGUGGUGACAUACAAUGGAUAUGCAGUUUUAACAGUAAUUUUUGGAUACCUUGUGGCUGUGGUAUUCUUCUGGUCAUCAACAACUUGUGAUGUCUUGGGCCGCAUGAGUCUUGCUGUGUGGGUCAUGGCAGCAGCAGGGAUGUCUGGCUUGUGGCCAGCAGGGAGCGUUCCAGUCUUUAUAAUCCUUUGUCUUCUGCUUGUGGCUGGUUUGGUGACGGAGAUCAUGGAUGUUUUUACUGCUAAUAAAGCUGCCAAAGGUGAUGAUGCUAGCAUUAUAGAAGCAGCAGUGUUAGUGUGCCUAGGUAAUGCAUCUGCAAUAGAGAAUGCGACUAGUGAAGGACAAGAUAAGGAGAGAAAAGAAGUGGAAGGCCUAGGGACAGGUGGUUCACUUUCACCCGUCACAGAAGAGGAUAGUAUAGAGGACUUAGGUAACAAGGAAUCCCCCUCUCGACUCUCAUCGAUUCCUGAGGUGACCACCACAUCUGCUGCUGAGACUGAUGAGGCUGCCACUGAUAAUGACCUUGAUAAAGAAACCCAGCAAGAGUCCACAUCAGAUCUGGAUAAUGGUGACCAAACUCAGCUGCCGAAAGAGGACGUCUCCACACCUGUCCUGAAGCCAGAAGAGAAGAUGCGCCAGGCAACUGGGGAGAAGCUUCAUGCUGAAGAUCCAUACCGAACACCAUUGAUGGAGACACCCCGGCCUCGACUCCUACUCAGCGGCAAUGUGCCAUCACGUGCACUGCCCUCCCAUGGGUUGAUUAGUCCUGACGAACGCCCAGGUGAGGAAGAUAAUGGCAGCAACAUGUAUCUAAAGGGUGUGUUAGUAGCCUGUAUCUUGGUGGAGCUUUGGCAACAUAACUACUUACUGCCUUUGUUGCCUCUAGCCAUGAUCUACUACAUCAUCAAGAAAGUAGCUUCCAAGUAUUUGCUGUGGGGAACUGCCUUGUCUGAUGUAAUGAACCAUGCCUGGGACAAAGUACUGAUGUGGGCUGAGGCCCGCAAAGCAGCAAUUCUUCCCCCGCCAGUCAAGGGUGUGAUUAAGCUGUUAGUAAGGACUGAUCACCGUCUAGUUGUGGCCCUCUCAGCUGGUGUGGAUGCUAUUGUAACACUGCUACUGAUCUUGGCAGUCAUCUUUUUUGCUGUGACUGCAUCUAUAUUCCUAGCAGUGCAGAUUCAAGGCGAAAGCAUGGCUCUGGUUACUCUAGGCAGCCAGAUGAUCAACUCGACUGUCGUCAACAACCCACAGUUUUUGGAGCUUCUUCCAGAGGGCCUUGGAGAUGUUGUCAGUAACGCGCUUGAUGAAGGUUACCUCUAUGGUCGAGAGUGGAUUGCCAGCAUGCUGAUUGAGGUGGAGGGUUCCUCACACCCAACUAUCAAUGCCACAAAGGUGGUGCGAGGAAUGCUUGGAGAGACAGAUGAGGCAAAAGCUCAACAUCUAGAGAAGCAGGUGGUAGAGCUAUGGGACCGCGUGUACCAGGCGUGGGUCUCGGCCCAUCCAACCCCUCCCACCAGCCCUAAAGUGACUUCAGAGGCUGUGGCGCUCUCCUUCGACACUUUGGUGGAUGGGCUACGUAAGACUUCAGGCCCAGGAGAUGUAUUUUCAAGAACAGGUGUGGUGAGUUUCUCAUUUCUAAGUGAAGUCCUGAAGGAUAACCUGGGGACUGUGGUCAGUGUCCUGGAGUCUGUUUGGACAAUCCUGCUGGGCAACUUGAGUCUGGCUGUUUCUGCCCUGACUGCAGCUGCCUCCCUUCUCCUGGGUGGGUCCCUGUCCCUGCUGAACGCUCUUAUUAGUGUGGUUGUCUUCAUGUCAUCACUCUUCUAUGUAUUGAGUGCAAGCGGCACUGUUUACAAACCUGUGGCAGUUCUUGGCAAUCUAGCACCUGGCCAGAUGAACCAGCUUGGAAAGGCAGUUGAGGAUGCUGUGAAUGGUGUUUUUAUUGCAUCCUUAAAAAUGGGGGCAUUUUAUGGAAUGUGGACUUGGCUGCUUCAUUCACUGUUCUCCACUAAUAUUGUCUACAUUCCAUCAGUGUUAGGAGCCCUGUUUGGGGCGGUACCACUGGUGGGCACCUACUGGGCAGCACUGCCUGGGGCCUUAGAACUCUGUUGGAGUCAAGGAUCUCCCACUCUGGCACUGCUACUCUUUGGUGCACAACUGCUGCCAAUGUCUUGUGUUGAUACUGCUAUCUAUGCUGACAUUAAAGGAGGUAGUCACCCCUACCUCACAGGUCUAGCAGUAGCUGGUGGCAUAUUCUACUGGGGUGCAGAAGGAGCCAUUCUAGGACCUUUGCUGUUGUGUAUCCUGAAAGUUGCUACCAAUAUCUAUUCUUCACUCAUUCAGUCGCCAGCAGAUAUCACCAGACGCUUUGGUAAACUGAGGAGAAGUCUGAGUGAUCUGCACUUGUAAGGAGCAAGAAUGGUUCAGAACGGAUAACAGCGGCUGUUCUGCAAUCUCCAAAUAUUUGCUUUUAGCAUUUAGAAGAGCUUUUGCUAAAGUGUUUGCAAAAUUCAUUAGAUUUAUUCCAGACUUGUGCCUUUUUUGAAAUGGUGCUAUUAGAAUGGUAUCUCACAACUGCAGCUUUAAUUAGGGAUCCUGCUAACGGCAUAGUUGAUGGUUUUUCAGCAGGAAUGCUGGAAUAUCCCAAGGACUUCUUUUUAUAAUUACUUUGAUGAUUCUCAUUAUUCAUAUUACUAUUUUCUGUAGUAAAGCCAAAGGAAAUAGGUCAUGUACUACAUUGAUAGGGAUUCAUUUUAAUUGUGAAGUAGGGAGGAAUUGUGAAUUUAUAGAAGUGUAUCAUACAAAUGUGUGUAGUGGAAUUAUACUCAUAGGAUUAUAGUAAAAGAAAUAGUGAACAGAAGUUAGCUAUAUAUACACAUGUAUGGUGUAGGUGUGGUUGUGGGCAUGUUGAUGGGUGGGUGUAGAUGGAUGGGUGUGGGUGGAUGGAUGGCAUCUCACUUACACUUUUAUAUUCACCUUUCCCAUCACCUUCCCCAUCUGUUGAGUACACUUUCUGUAAAUUCAUGGUUUUCUUUUCUUACCAGUUUACAACAUUUGUACUUUAAUUUUGUUUUGCUAAACUUCACAAUUGUAUUUAGACUUCUGGUGAGAAUUACGGUCCAUGAAUAUCUCAGCUUCUUUUGCCUUUGGUAGAAGACAUGAACAGAUAAAUUUAUCUGAAGGAAAAUGAGAAAGGCUAAUUCUUUUAAAGUUGGAGGUAAUAUCUGAUAGAAUAUGUAAGGGAAAACAUUGUUUGAAUUUAAUCAUACUUUCUAAAAGUAUUUGUUACUGUUGAGACUAGUAUGUCAAGUGGAUGCUAUUUUUAAUAAUGGUUUGGAAGGACAAAUGUGAUUUAGUUUUCUUUGAUAAUGAAAGUUUCAUUUUAACGAAUAUAAGGUCAAGUUGGGAAGAAACCCAGUAAAAAAACAAAUUUGUUUUUUAGGAAUUAUUAUCAUUAUGAUUUCAGCUUACUGUGAUUAUAAAAGCUGUAACACUUUAAAAUUAUGUUCCAUACCAUAUCAAGAAUACAGGUGAUGUGUAAAAGAAGUUUCAACCUCCUAUUAUUGUGUAAAAACACCCUAUUUCUCUCAUCUCAUAUUUAUUAUAUUUCUGACAUCUCAUCUUCCAUUCUUAUUGUUUUUUUUACUUGUUUGGGGUCACUUUUCUACAGCAGCUUCUUUCAUUUUUUUUUCUAUUAGGUAUUUCAUGUCUGUUGAAUGUUUGAUUAGAUAGAUUCAUAAUAUUUUACCAAUUACAUUUAAUGUAUCUAUAUUCAAAGAUCUUUUCUGGCCAAUUGAUAGCCAAACUAUUUAAAAAAAAUUAGUGUAUGUUUAUAUUAUUUAAUUCAUUUUCAGUGGAUACAAUUCUAACUGAAUGCUCUCUUUUCAUACUCAUACAAUUCCUAUUCCUUUUGCUUAUAGUGUUGAGACUUACAAUUCAAGCAAAGGGAUUCUAUGACAUCUUCAGGUUUAUAUUAGUGGUCUCUCUGUUUAUUGUGCUUGCAGUUUUUUCUGCUGUGAUUUUUGUGCUCUAGAACUUUCAGGAUUUGAUAUUUAAAACUUGUACAGGAAUUGCAAGUAGGACAGCUUUUGAGAAACAUUUUUAUUGGUAGAUAUUACUUACUUUGUAUUCUAUGCUGUGCUGUUGUAAUGGAAAUGCUUCCUGUUGUAAAAUAACUGGAAAUUUAUCAUAUGAAAGAAUAUUACUUAAGUGAAAAUGGAUGAAAUUGCUUUUUACUGCUCAGCAGGUUACUGUAUACAUAACCUAUAUUUUUUCCUUCUCUCUUUUCUUUUAAGCUAAUCGAUGAUAUAUAAUAACCUUUAAAAAAACAAUUUUGUGUUCUGUCCUUAAUGAAUAAUAAAAUCAG
This 5041-nucleotide unclassified non-coding RNA is filed under the name Penaeus japonicus. RNAcentral's name for it is "transmembrane protein 245-like, transcript variant X1". Lineage: Eukaryota; Metazoa; Arthropoda; Malacostraca; Decapoda; Penaeidae. The record is from RNAcentral.